AGAGUUUGAUCCUGGCUCAGAUUGAACGCUAGCGGGAUGCUUUACACAUGCAAGUCGAACGGCAGCACGAGAGAGCUUGCUCUCUUGGUGGCGAGUGGCGGACGGGUGAGUAAUAUAUCGGAACGUGCCCAGUAGCGGGGGAUAACUACUCGAAAGAGUGGCUAAUACCGCAUACGCCCUACGGGGGAAAGGGGGGGAUCGCAAGACCUCUCACUAUUGGAGCGGCCGAUAUCGGAUUAGCUAGUUGGUGGGGUAAAGGCCCACCAAGGCAACGAUCCGUAGCUGGUUUGAGAGGACGACCAGCCACACUGGGACUGAGACACGGCCCAGACUCCUACGGGAGGCAGCAGUGGGGAAUUUUGGACAAUGGGGGAAACCCUGAUCCAGCCAUCCCGCGUGUAUGAUGAAGGCCUUCGGGUUGUAAAGUACUUUUGGCAGAGAAGAAAAGGCAUCCCCUAAUACGGGAUGCUGCUGACGGUAUCUGCAGAAUAAGCACCGGCUAACUACGUGCCAGCAGCCGCGGUAAUACGUAGGGUGCAAGCGUUAAUCGGAAUUACUGGGCGUAAAGCGUGUGUAGGCGGUUCGGAAAGAAAGAUGUGAAAUCCCAGGGCUCAACCUUGGAACUGCAUUUUUAACUGCCGAGCUAGAGUAUGUCAGAGGGGGGUAGAAUUCCACGUGUAGCAGUGAAAUGCGUAGAUAUGUGGAGGAAUACCGAUGGCGAAGGCAGCCCCCUGGGAUAAUACUGACGCUCAGACACGAAAAGCGUGGGGAGCAAACAGGAUUAGAUACCGUGGUAGUCCACGCCCUAAACGAUGUCAACUAGCUGUUGGGGCCGUUAGGCCUUAGUAGCGCAGCUAACGCGUGAAGUUGACCGCCUGGGGAGUACGGUCGCAAGAUUAAAACUCAAAGGAAUUGACGGGGACCCGCACAAGCGGUGGAUGAUGUGGAUUAAUUCGAUGCAACGCGAAAAACCUUACCUACCCUUGACAUGUCUGGAAUGCCGAAGAGAUUUGGCAGUGCUCGCAAGAGAACCGGAACACAGGUGCUGCAUGGCUGUCGUCAGCUCGUGUCGUGAGAUGUUGGGUUAAGUCCCGCAACGAGCGCAACCCUUGUCAUUAGUUGCUACGCAAGAGCACUCUAAUGAGACUGCCGGUGACAAACCGGAGGAAGGUGGGGAUGACGUCAAGUCCUCAUGGCCCUUAUGGGUAGGGCUUCACACGUCAUACAAUGGUCGGGACAGAGGGUCGCCAACCCGCGAGGGGGAGCCAAUCUCAGAAACCCGAUCGUAGUCCGGAUCGCAGUCUGCAACUCGACUGCGUGAAGUCGGAAUCGCUAGUAAUCGCGGAUCAGAAUGUCGCGGUGAAUACGUUCCCGGGUCUUGUACUCACCGCCCGUCA
This 1397-nucleotide ribosomal RNA is filed under the name uncultured bacterium. RNAcentral's name for it is "16S ribosomal RNA". It matches the Rfam family "Bacterial small subunit ribosomal RNA". The record is from RNAcentral.